UACAGAGGGUGCGAGCGUUGUCCGGAAUCACUGGGCGUAAAGGGCGCGUAGGCGGCCUGAUAAGUAGGGGGUGAAAUCCUGUGGCUUAACUGCAGGGCUGCCUCCUAGACUGUUAGGCUCGAGCACGGUAGAGGCAGAUGGAAUUCCUGGUGUAGCGGUGAAAUGCGCAGAUAUCAGGAGGAACACCGGUGGCGAAGGCGGAUCUCUGGGCCUUACCUGACGCUGAGGCGCGAAAGCUAGGGGAGCAAACAGG
Molecule: ribosomal RNA, 253 nt
Filed under: uncultured bacterium
Lineage: Bacteria
Description: partial 16S ribosomal RNA
Rfam family: Bacterial small subunit ribosomal RNA
Source: RNAcentral